CCGGGUGAGCAACACGUAUCCAACCUGCCGUCUACUCUUGGACAGCCUUCUGAAAGGAAGAUUAAUACAAGAUGGCAUCAUGAGUCCGCAUGUUCACAUGAUUAAAGGUAUUCCGGUAGACGAUGGGGAUGCGUUCCAUUAGAUAGUAGGCGGGGUAACGGCCCACCUAGUCUUCGAUGGAUAGGGGUUCUGAGAGGAAGGUCCCCCACAUUGGAACUGAGACACGGUCCAA
This 232-nucleotide ribosomal RNA is filed under the name uncultured bacterium. RNAcentral's name for it is "partial 16S ribosomal RNA". It matches the Rfam family "Bacterial small subunit ribosomal RNA", at positions 103 to 334 of the family's 1533-position model. The record is from RNAcentral.